This 408-nucleotide ribosomal RNA is filed under the name uncultured Peyronellaea. Its description in RNAcentral is "eukaryotic LSU rRNA". The stretch from base 110 to 263 matches the Rfam family "5.8S ribosomal RNA". The record is from RNAcentral. Lineage: Eukaryota; Fungi; Ascomycota; Dothideomycetes; Pleosporales; Didymellaceae.
UUACCCAUGUCUUUUGAGUACCUUCGUUUCCUCGGCGGGUUCGCCCGCCGAUUGGACAAUUUAAACCAUUUGCAGUUGCAAUCAGCGUCUGAAAAAACAUAAUAGUUACAACUUUCAACAACGGAUCUCUUGGUUCUGGCAUCGAUGAAGAACGCAGCGAAAUGCGAUAAGUAGUGUGAAUUGCAGAAUUCAGUGAAUCAUCGAAUCUUUGAACGCACAUUGCGCCCCUUGGUAUUCCAUGGGGCAUGCCUGUUCGAGCGUCAUUUGUACCUUCAAGCUCUGCUUGGUGUUGGGUGUUUGUCUCGCCUCUGCGCGUAGACUCGCCUCAAAACAAUUGGCAGCCGGCGUAUUGAUUUCGGAGCGCAGUACAUCUCGCGCUUUGCAUUCAGAACGACGACGUCCAAAAGU